RNAcentral lists this transfer RNA (91 nucleotides) under Burkholderia cenocepacia. RNAcentral describes it as "tRNA-Pro". The record is from RNAcentral. Lineage: Bacteria; Pseudomonadati; Pseudomonadota; Betaproteobacteria; Burkholderiales; Burkholderiaceae.
CCGGCGACGCGCAGGCGGCCGGCGGCAGCGUGUGGGGCACGCUCGGUGUCACGAUGCUGAAGGUCGCGGCGUUCAUCGCGCUGAUGCUGGU